RNAcentral lists this unclassified non-coding RNA (222 nucleotides) under Hevea brasiliensis (rubber tree). Lineage: Eukaryota; Viridiplantae; Streptophyta; Magnoliopsida; Malpighiales; Euphorbiaceae. The record is from RNAcentral.
GGCAGGUUGACAGAGGUAAUCAGUAAUUGUGAUGCAUUGUGCAAGAGGAUUGAUGCAGAGGGACCAGAAUCGCUGCGAUCAUCUAUCAAACCAUUUACAAUAGCUUCCUCGGACACAGAAAGCAACAGCAGCAGCAUGCAUACUCUGCAAGGUAAAGCAGAUGAAAAGCAAUAGUGCCGAGGCCUCUCUUUGGAGCUUAUAAAAUGUCUCUAUACCCCCGGG